CAAUGUAUACUGCCCACAGAGAAGCAAUCGGCUCGGAGACAUUUUUUAAAGGGGCUGAGAUGCCUUCGCUGAAGUGCUCCAGGAAGACGAACGCACAAAGCCAUCUUCUGCGAUAUUUGAAGACUCAACAGGAACAAGAACUGUAGGAUUUGGGCCCGGACCCUGCGGUUGCUCUUGAAAGUCUCUGCAUGUCUGCCCGUGUCUUCCCGCAUCCCUGGGCCCAAAACCUCUCCCACAAGGUCCACAAAUGGCCAGGCGGAGCCGGAAGCCAGAGCCCAUUGUCGGGAGAUCGUGCCGUGGUGCCCAGGAUGAUCUGUUGGGGCAUUUCAAGUGACCCAUGCAGCCCCCACUUGUGACUUGCAUCGUCUCUGACCUUCCCUGCGCCUUCAGGAAAAGGAAGAGGAAAAGCAAACAUGGAGGGAAACGCUGAGCACGUGGUUUCGCGGGAGGCAGAGCUAUAACUGUAACCUGCCCUGUUACAGUUGCUUUUGUCAGCGUUUGGGUACUUUUCUGCUGUCCCUCUUCCCUUGCGAGGCGUUACCGCCAAGGUCCGCCAUGCCACCCCCGCCUGAACAAAACAAACAGGAGAAUUGAGCAAGAAUUCACAGCCCCUGAAAAUGCUUUCUGCUAAGCAAGAAUGCAAUUCCUUCCAGAUUCAUUUAUUCCUAUGAUUGACUCAUAGCUUUGAAAAUCUGUGGAGUCACACCCGGGUCAAAAAGAUUACAAUAAAACAUAUUUGCAAAGAUGUUUUAUUUUAAAUUAAAUAUUUUUAAAUGGUCUACAUUAACAUUUUAGAGACAAGAUUUUUAGAAGUAAAGUUACAAAACUUAAAAAUGAUAUUUCAUCCUUUGAUGACAGCAAGAAAGAAGACAUUGUGCCGAGAAUGUUGUUUAUAAUAAAUUCAGUAUAACUGUAACAUGAAAAUUCUACAUGCAUACAUACUUGAUACGCACACAUUGUAUUUUUACAUAUUUACUUUUGGAGUAUUAUAUAAUUAAUGAAGAAUCAAUUCAGCACAAAUGUGAGGUGAGUCUACUUUGCCAAUCAAUUGUAAGUAUCUCAUAAACAAUUUUGGGUAAAAUUUAAAGAUUAGUUUUAUCAUAAAAGGAACUCUCCUGUGGCUCAUUGUUAGUAUGUCCAUUAAUGUUCUAUUUUUUGGCUAAAUUAAAUUUAACUAAGGGAAAAAGAAAACGUAGAGUACUGAGAAUGAUCAAGAUUUUAUGGGUAAGCUAAUUGAAAUGGUUUAUUCUUUGGAAAAUGAUAUUUAUUCCUUGGAAAAUAUCACUCUUGUUAUUUGAGGCUUGUGUUCAAUUAAUAAGAAACUAACAGAAAUAAUUA
Molecule: long non-coding RNA, 1338 nt
Organism: Zalophus californianus (California sea lion)
Lineage: Eukaryota; Metazoa; Chordata; Mammalia; Carnivora; Otariidae
Exons: 4
Source: RefSeq, a predicted model, not a curated record